GAUGAAGAACGUAGCAAAAUGCGAUAAGUAAUGUGAAUUGCAGAAUUCAGUGAAUCAUCGAAUCUUUGAACGCACCUUGCGCUCUUUGGUAUUCCGAAGAGCAUGCCUGUUUGAGUGUCAUGAAAAUAUCAACCUUGACUUGGGUUUUGUGCUCUAGUCUCGGCUUGGAAUUGGGUGCUUGCCGCUUUAACGAGCGGCUCACCUUAAAUGUAUUAGCUGGAUCUGUCUUUGAGACUUGGUUUGACUUGGCGUAAUAAGUAUUUCGCUAAGGACAUUCUUCGGAGUGGCCUCGUUUCUAGGACGCUUGUCCGCUUUCCAAUACAAGUUCCACCUCGUGGACAUGACUUUUUAUUAUCUGGCCUCAAAUCAGGUAGGACUACCCGCUGAACUUAAGCAUAUCAAUAAGCGGAGGA
Molecule: unclassified non-coding RNA, 413 nt
Filed under: soil metagenome
Description: partial contains 5.8S ribosomal RNA, internal transcribed spacer 2, and large subunit ribosomal RNA
Rfam family: 5.8S ribosomal RNA (bases 1-120)
Source: RNAcentral